GACGAACGCUGGCGGCGUGCCUAAUACAUGCAAGUUGAACGAGAGCGACCGGUGCUUGCACUGGUCAAUCUAGUGGCGAACGGGUGAGUAACACGUGGGUAACCUGCUCAUCAGAGGGGGAUAACAUCCGGAAACGGAUGCUAAAACCGCAUAGGUCUUCGAGCCGCAUGGCUUGAAGAGGAAAAGAGGCGCAAGCUUCUGCUGAUGGAUGGACCCGCGGUGCAUUAGCUAGUUGGUGAGGUAACGGCUCACCAAGGCCGUGAUGCAUAGCCGACCUGAGAGGGUGAUCGGCCACAUUGGGACUGAGACACGGCCCAAACUCCUACGGGAGGCAGCAGUAGGGAAUCUUCCGCAAUGGACGCAAGUCUGACGGAGCAACGCCGCGUGAGUGAAGAAGGUUUUCGGAUCGUAAAACUCUGUUGUUAGAGAAGAACAAGUGCUAGAGUAACUGUUAGCGCCUUGACGGUAUCUAACCAGAAAGCCACGGCUAACUACGUGC
This 499-nucleotide ribosomal RNA is filed under the name uncultured bacterium. RNAcentral describes it as "partial 16S ribosomal RNA". It matches the Rfam family "Bacterial small subunit ribosomal RNA", at positions 28 to 508 of the family's 1533-position model. The record is from RNAcentral.